Molecule: ribosomal RNA, 465 nt
Filed under: uncultured bacterium
Lineage: Bacteria
Description: bacterial SSU rRNA
Rfam family: Bacterial small subunit ribosomal RNA
Source: RNAcentral
CCAGACUCCUACGGGAGGCAGCAGUGAGGAAUAUUGGUCAAUGGCCGCAGGGCUGAACCAGCCAAGUCGCGUGAGGGAUGACGGCCCUACGGGUUGUAAACCUCUUUUGUCGGGGAGCAAAUUCCGCCACGUGUGGCGGAGUCGAGAGUACCCGAAGAAAAAGCAUCGGCUAACUCCGUGCCAGCAGCCGCGGUAAUACGGAGGAUGCGAGCGUUAUCCGGAUUUAUUGGGUUUAAAGGGUGCGCAGGCGGCGAGUUAAGUCAGGGGUAAAAUUUGGGGGCUCAACCCAGACAAGCCGUUGAAACUGGCUUGCUAGAGUGGGCGAGAAGUAUGCGGAAUGCGUGGUGUAGCGGUGAAAUGCAUAGAUAUCACGCAGAACUCCGAUUGCGAAGGCAGCAUACCGGCGCCCAACUGACGCUCAGGCACGAAAGCGUGGGUAUCGAACAGGAUUAGAUACCCCAGUAA